CGCCAUUGUGAAGACCGGUAGCGCCGGUUGUGGCCUGCGCCCGCGCACGGCUCGAAUUAUUUCCCUUUAUGAAGUGCGCCGGCGGCGGCGGAGGCUGUGCGGUGUAGCCAAUGCCCGUAGGACUCGAGAUGUAAUUUGGGAGUAAUGGAGCGUGUAAUGGUGGGCGUGGGUUGGGACAACGACUCGCCCAUAACAAGACAUACUCCACUGGGCACGGCUGGCAGACUAUCGUGGCGGCUGGUGUUCUGGUGGCGAACUGGCGAUACAAAAUCAAAAAAAGAACAUAUGGAACGAAACAUUGUUGGGAAUCGUUUUAUUAAGAAGACUACACGGAAUGGAAGCUUCCUGUAAUCUUAUUAUUACAAAUCCCAUCAGUUCAUCUAAUCCAUGGCCGCAAAUGACAAUUUAACACUAGCAUCAAAAAACGUAUAUUACAUUCAAACAAAAAAUAGUGAUGACAAAUGGGAACUGUAACCUUCUAGAAGUAUCCUUCCGACAGAGCUGGUGGUGAAUCCUGAUUAGGCCUGGCGCCGGCAGUGGCUGCUUACGGAUGAUACUCUCGUAACUAAUUAUAUUGUCGGCUGCAGUCGCCACGCAGCGAAAUCUGACACCGGCCAUAUUGGAGCGACCGCAUACAAAGUGUCUGCAAGAUGCAAUCCCUUAAUUGGAAAUAUCCACAUGUCACAUGUUAAUUUGUGGUCCCGAUUUAUUGAAUACGCUGAACAUAAUGGUAUGCACAGAAAUCGAGAAUUUAUAUUGUAAAUCUAUCAGUCGCUAAUCCACCACUAAGUUUAACAUGGAAACAUAAAAAAUCUAAGAUAAAAAAAUACAAUGGGACGAAGAAAUUAGUGUCAGAAAUCGAGUUUCCCGAGGUAUACUAGGUACUUAUUUCUGGUAUGAAAAAGAGAAUAUAAACGACCAUAUAAGUAGGUACUUACGAAGGGUAAUAAAAAAUAUGAAUUGAUUUUGAUUUACUGGCCCAUAAAAUGUACUCGAUUUAAAACGUCGAUGAAGUUUUAAACUUAAUUUUUACUUUAUUUUCAAUGCACUUGUUUUGAUGACGUUCGAUAAUAAAACAACCCUAAAAUAAGGUUCAUUCGUUAUGUUGAAAACCCUUGUGAGACAAUAAAUUCGUGGAUUAUA
This is a long non-coding RNA of Plodia interpunctella (Indianmeal moth), 1143 nucleotides long. RefSeq lists it as uncharacterized. The record is from RefSeq and is a predicted model, not a curated record. The transcript is spliced from 5 exons. NCBI's taxonomy places the organism in Eukaryota, Metazoa, Arthropoda, Insecta, Lepidoptera, Pyralidae.